GGGGAGGCGGAAAAUUGAAUUAGCCUUUUUCCUUUCUGGAGAAUGUGUUGGUAUUAGCCUUGGGGGAUAAGUUGUUUAAAUUUGGAGAAGAGUAAUCUAUUGCCUCUGUAUUUAUGCCCUGCAAUAUGUGCUGCAAAAUAUGCUGGUAUUGCAGCUUCUGUAAGUUUUAAUUCUAGCAGGGGGAGGGGGAGGGGGAAAAUUGAAUUUGUUACACUCUCUUAUUUCCAAUUUAUUUAUAGGUGAUUCUCUACAAUGGGAUAUAAACUUUGUAAAAAAUAUUUUUAUUUCAAGAGAUGUGGGUUUAAUUUUAAAAAUUCCAUUAUCUACAGUAAAAAGAGCAGAUCAAUGGUUUUGGAGCAUAGAGUCUCAUGGAAAUUACACGGUGCAAAGUGGGUAUAAACUAGACAUGAACUUCUCUGGGGGAUUAGUUGUUUAAAUUUGGACAAGAGUAAUCUUUUGCCUGUGUAUUUAUGCACAGGAAUAUGUGCUGCAAAAUAUGCUGCUAGUGCAGUUUCUGUAAGAAAAUUGAAUUAGCCUUUUUCCUUUCUGGAGAAUGUGUUGGUAUUAGCCCUGGUGGAUGAGUUGUUUAAAUUUGGAGAAGAGUAAUCUUUUGCUUCUGUAUUUAUAUCCUGCAAUAUGUGCUACAAAAUAUCCUGCUAGUGCAGUUUCUGUAUGUUUUAAUUCUAGGAGGGGGACGGGGAGGGGGAAAAUUGAAUUAGCCUUUUUCCUUUCUGGAGAAUGUGUUGGUAUUAGCCCUGGUGGAUGAGUUGUUUAAAUUUGGANNNNNNNNNNNNNNNNNNNNNNNNNNNNNNNNNNNNNNNNNNNNNNNNNNNNNNNNNNNNNNNNNNNNNNNNNNNNNNNNNNNNNNNNNGAGGGGUAGGGGCAAAAUUCAAUUAGCCUUUUUCCUUUCUGGAGAAUGUGUUUGUAUUAGCCCUGGCGGAUCAGUUGUUUAAAUUUCGGCAAGAGUAAUCUUUUGCCUCUGUAUUUAUGCCCUGCAAUAUGUGCUGCAAAAUAUGCUGCUAGUGCAGUUUAGGGGGACGGGGAGGGGGAGGGGAAGGGGGAAAAUUGAAUUAACCUUUUUCCUUUCUGGAGAAUGUGUUGGUAUUAGCCCUGGUGGAUGAGUUAUUUAAAUUUGGACAAGAGUAAUCUUUUGCCUCUGUAUUUAUGCCCUGCAAUAUGUGCUGCAAAAUAUGCUGAUUGCAGUUUCUGUAAAUUUUAAUUCUUGCAGGGGGAGGGGGGAUGGGGAAAAUUGAAUUAGCCUUUUUCCUUUCUGGAGAAUGUGUUGGUAUUAGCCCUGGUGGAUGAGUUGUUUAAAUUUGGACAAGAGUAAUCUUUUGCCUCUGUAUUUAUGCCCUGCAAUCUGUGCCGCAAAAUAAGCUGCUAGUGCAGUUUCUGUAAGUUGUAAUUCUAGCAGGGGGAGGGGGUGGGGUAAAAUUGAAUUAGCCUUUUUCCUUUCUGGAGAAUGUGUUGGUAUUAGCCCUAGUGCAUGAGUUGUUUAAAUUUGGGCAAGAGUAAUCUUUUGCCUUUGUAUUUAUGCCUUGCAAUAUGCGCUGCAAAAUAUGCUGCUAUUUCAGUUUCUGUAAGUCUUAAUUCUUGCAGGGGGAGGGGAUGGGGAAAAUUGAAUUAGCCUUUUUCCUUUCUGUAGAAUGUGUUGGUAUUGGCCCUGGUGGAUGAGUUGUUUAAAUUUGGACAAGAGUAAUCUUUUGCCUCUUUAUUUAUGCCCUGCAAUCUGUGCUGCAAAAUAUGCUGCUAGUGCAGUUUCUGUAAGUUUUAAUUCUAGCAGGGGGAGCGGGAGGGGGUAAAUUGAAUUAGCCUUUUUCCUUUGUGGAGAAUGUGUUGGUAUUAGACCUGGUGGAUGAGUUAUUUAAAUUUGGACAAGAGUAAUCUUUUGCCUCUUUAUUUAUGCCCUGCAAUCUGUGCUGCAAAAUAUGCUGCUAGUGCAGUUUCUGUAAGUUUUAAUUCUAGCAGGGAGUGGGAAAAUUGAAUUAGCCUUUUUCCUUUUUGGAGAAUGUGUUGGUAUUAGACCUGGUGGAUGAGUUAUUUAAAUUUGGACAAGAGUAAUCUUUUGCCUCUGUAUUUAUGCCCUGCAAUAUGUGCUGCAAAAUAUGCUGGUAGUGCAGUUUCUGUAAGUUUUAAUUCUAGCAGGGAGUGGGAAAAUUGAAUUAGCCUUUUUCCUUUUUGGAGAAUGUGUUGGUAUUAGACCUGGUGGAUGAGUUAUUUAAAUUUGGACAAGAGUAAUCUUUUGCCUCUGUAUUUAUGCCCUGCAGUAUGUGCUGCAAAAUAUGCUGCUAGUGGAGUUUUUGAAAAUUUUGAUUGUAGCAGGGGAAGGGGGAGGGGGAGGCGGAAAAUUGAAUUAGCCUUUUUCCUUUCUGGAGAAUGUGUUGGUAUUAACCCUGUUGGAUGAGUUGUUUAAAUUUGGAGAAGAGUAAUGUUUUGCCACUGUAUUUAUGCCCUGCAAUAUGUGCUGCAAAAUAUGCUGGUAUUGCAGCUUCUGUAAGUUUUAAUUCUAGCAGGGGGAGGGGGAGGGGGAGGCGGAAAAUUGAAUUAGCCUUUUUCCUUUCUGGAGAAUGUGUUGGUAUUAGCCCUGGUGGAUGAGUUGUUUAAAUUUGUAGAAGGGUAAUCUUUUGCCUCUGUAUUUAUGCCCUGCAAUAUGUGCUGNNN
This 2661-nucleotide long non-coding RNA is filed under the name Jatropha curcas. RNAcentral's name for it is "long non-coding RNA (JCUR_LNC000324)". Lineage: Eukaryota; Viridiplantae; Streptophyta; Magnoliopsida; Malpighiales; Euphorbiaceae. The record is from RNAcentral.